AAAUGACUCCUCAGGUGUUAACUCAUCAACCCCGCCCCCUCAUACAUGCCUCGGUAGUAGACUGCUAACGUAGUGAUUCUGGGAGCUGCAGAUUGAACUUUUCUCCAGCUGAGAUGAUGUUGUUUGAAAAUGCUGGCAAAGGGGCAAUACGGAGGAGUCCAGAAGUACAUCAAAGUUCCACAGAGAAAUGAAAACUGUGAUUACCUCCAAUUUCUUCAUGAGGGAGAAAAGUGGGACGUAGUAUCACGUGCUUCGGGCACUGAAGUCGAUGCAGACAUAUUUGAUGAGCUGGUAAAGUCUGGUGUCCUGAACUUCAAGGUUAUAAGCUGCCGGUGUCCAGUAGCAGAUCUGGACAUUCAAAUAACCCUUCAGCAUCACCUGCUUCUUCAGUUUUGUCUGAUUCAACCGUUAUCCUAACAUCCACAAGAAAGAGGGACUUGAAUGAGCUGGAUCGUGAUGAAGCAAGCCAGAAGGAUUCCACCAACUAGUGUGCGGACUAGCUAUGCCCUUGGAGUUGUGACUCUUUUUCCAUACCUGCAGGAUCCAUACUCUAAAAAUGGAUAUGAACAUUACUAUGAUCCAGUGGCCAAUACUGGCUAUCUUGCCUGGAGGCUGAAGACUGUUCAACGCAACACCAACGAUGAAAUGAGACCAACGAGAAAAUGAGAGCAACAUUUGAGUACAGACAGAAGGUGGUUCAUGACAAGGAUGCAGCAUCUUCGGUCUUGGAUGUAUUCCCUCGUUUCCUUGACAUUCCUGGACUGAUGAGGACAUUCUGAUUUUUAAUAGUAUGUCAAGAGUUUGAAUCGAGGCAACUGGAUUCAUGGAUUUUUUUUCUGAAGACACUUUUCCACUCCUCCGAGAGGCUUCCUCUGUUCUCCUCAGCAGAACUGAGGAAGCAUCUUCAGAAAAAAAUCCAUGAAUCCAGUUGCCUCGAUUUAAACUCUUGGACAUAACAUGACCUGGAUGAAUGACUGCAUCCAGAGACAUUUUUAGUAGUAGUUCAAAUAUUUGCUGCUCCUCUCCAAGUUAAAUUAACCUGUACAUGGGCAUUGUGUCUCUGCUUAAAGAUUGAACAAGAUUUUUCCCUCAUGUUUGGCUCAUAUUUCAAGAACAAAGUCAUCACAGAAUGCCAGAAUCUUCCUUCAAAUCUUUAAGUUGAGGAGCUGCUGACAGUCUUUGACCCUGUGACUGAGAAUAAAUCUGGUAAGUGUGGUUUGUUUUGGUUUGUUUUCUCUCCAGUUGCCACUUGAGUUUUUGUUCUCUUUUAAUACACAUUUUGUUUCUAAGGAUGGGAUGGUGAUAUGUCAGCUAUCCUGUUGCCGUUACAUCUCCUGCCCCCUACAUCAUUUAAGUUUGUAAG
This is a long non-coding RNA of Scatophagus argus, 1363 nucleotides long. RefSeq lists it as uncharacterized. The transcript has 6 exons. The record is from RefSeq and is a predicted model, not a curated record. Lineage: Eukaryota; Metazoa; Chordata; Actinopteri; Scatophagidae.